CCUGUUUACACACAAACACACCACAGCUGCACCCACUUGCAUUACCCACCCCAACCCAAACACAUGCACCGCCAUCCCGCAUGCAAAAGGCACAACUCAAGACAUGCCCCCUAUCCCUCCUGCACACUUCGCCCUCCCCACCCACACCUAGCACCCAACGCAGCACCACACCCACCCUCACCUCCCCCUGCACACUCCCACCUCCGCCCACCUCCUUCAUACACAUUCUCACCCCCACCCCGACCCGCUCUUCCAAGCACACUUUAACACCACAGCCUGCCGUUCUCGAAAAGAGCCGCGCAGCAGCAGGCGGGGAAGCUGCGAGGCGCUGGGGUCAGCCUGUUCUCGGAGGUACCCGCGAGCUGAAUCAGCCCCGCCAGCGCCAGCCUCGGAGAUGCUAACCGGGUCGCUUUGUCUGCAAGGGUAAAUUCGGGAGCGUCCAGCAACCCAGGACUUCUGAAGAUAAAGAAGGAACAAAGCAGCAGGCCCGGGAGGAGGCUCUAGGAUGGGCCAUUCAGAAAUACCAACCAAGCACUUGGAAUGUAAGAGAUCCACCUCCCCUUCAGCCUCAUCGCCAAAGUCCAAACCCUCCUUAGAAGAUAUUACAGCUAUACAAAUGAGUGUCCAACGCCUUGUGACCCCAUGGACUGUAGCCUGCCAGGCUCCUCUGUCCAUGGGAUUUUCCAGGCAAGAAUACCGGAGAGAGCUUGGAGACUCCCAAGAAAGACCAUGGAUGGGACCAUAAGCAGAAAUUCAAAGUGGACUGAAUCAGCCUGGCCAUUGAACAGGAGCCUUGGAUACAAAUCUGCAAUCUGCGGUCAAGAGAAGCCUCAACUCAGAGGACUCUGCAGGAUGCUGCCCUUCCCCAC
Molecule: long non-coding RNA, 869 nt
Organism: Bubalus bubalis (water buffalo)
Lineage: Eukaryota; Metazoa; Chordata; Mammalia; Artiodactyla; Bovidae
Exons: 6
Source: RefSeq, a predicted model, not a curated record